RNAcentral lists this ribosomal RNA (253 nucleotides) under uncultured bacterium. RNAcentral's name for it is "partial 16S ribosomal RNA". It matches the Rfam family "Bacterial small subunit ribosomal RNA", at positions 524 to 776 of the family's 1533-position model. The record is from RNAcentral.
GACAGAGGGUGCAAACGUUGCUCGGAAUCACUGGGCGUAAAGGGCGUGUAGGCGGGCAGUAAAGUCAGAUGUGAAAUCCCUGGGCUCAACCCAGGAACUGCAUUUGAAACUCACUUUCUUGAGUACCGGAGAGGAAGGUGGAAUACCUGGUGUAGAGGUGAAAUUCGUAGAUAUCAGGUGGAACACCAGUGGCGAAGGCGGCCUUCUGGACGGUAACUGACGCUGAGACGCGAAAGCGUGGGGAGCAAACAGG